Strigops habroptila (Kakapo) is the source of this 737-nucleotide long non-coding RNA. RefSeq lists it as uncharacterized. The record is from RefSeq and is a predicted model, not a curated record. The transcript has 3 exons. Lineage: Eukaryota; Metazoa; Chordata; Aves; Psittaciformes; Psittacidae.
UUUGAAAUCCAGUUAUCUUUGAAAUGCUUUCAUAAGAAGAUUGCAUGGUUAAGGUUCAGCAAAGAAAACUUAACCUACAUAACAUUAGGAAAGAGUGAAGAAACAGAGAUGAGAUUGGUGACUGAAAAAGUAUUGAGAGAUGUAAGAAUGAGCAUGAUAGGAUUUUGCAGGCAGACAUAAUGUCUUUUAUGAGAUCAGCUGAGGUAGGUAGGGAAACAAGCUUUUAAUCCCUGUGAUACUGCUCUAAGUCUGUGAGAAAACUAUCUUAUCAUGUUUUCAAACCAUUACAGUUAAAACUCAGCAUUUAGAAAAUGAGACUCUCCUUCCUGAGAUGUGAAGCAUCAAACUUCAUCUUGGUACUUAACAUGUAUACUGCAAUAGUUGAAAUUCAGGUCUUGAACACAUGCCCCAGAAAAAUCAUUCUGAUAAAGUGAGAAAAUCUGGUGACAAUGAUGAAUGCCAAGAAGAAUGUGAUACUUGUCUGCCAUAAGCAGAGAUUAUAAUUUUAACUGAUCUUUGUUGCCAUUUACCCCUAGAAAUGCCUGAGAGAAAGAGGUUGCUAGAAUCAAAGUGGAAAGGCUGAGACAAAUAUAUCAGCCUUUGGGAUAGAUGAAAAUAGCAUGAUUGAGGGUUGCUUGGAUGUCUUGGGGAUGCUUUUCAAGCUUUUGACAGUGUCAGUCAGAGUAAAACAAAGGUGAUUUUUCUUGUUGACAGUACUAGCUGAUUGUUACUUGUAU